AAAUCCUACUACUGGCCACCGCAAAACCCGCCCUUCAAUAGCAUUUGCGCGUUACUAUUGGCCAGGUAACGGACCCCGAUUUGUUCAGGUCCCGUCCCAUGACCAAUCCGCUGUCCUAAC
Sander lucioperca (pikeperch) is the source of this 120-nucleotide long non-coding RNA. RefSeq lists it as uncharacterized. The transcript is spliced from 3 exons. The record is from RefSeq and is a predicted model, not a curated record. Lineage: Eukaryota; Metazoa; Chordata; Actinopteri; Perciformes; Percidae.